CCUACGGGUGGCAGCAGUGGGGGAUAUUGCACAAUGGGGGGAACCCUGAUGCAGCGACGCCGCGUGGGUGAAGGAGUGCUUCGGCAUGUAAAGCUCUAUCGGCAGGGAAGAAGCAAGACGGUACCUGACUAAGAAGCCCCGGCUAACUACGUGCCAGCAGCCGCGGUAAUACUGAGGGGGCGGGCGUUAUCCGGAUUCACGGGGUGGAAAGGGAGCGUAGACGGGCAUGCAAGCCAGGGGUGAAAGCCGGGGGCCCAACCCCGGGACUGCCCUUGGAACUGCGUUGCUUGAGUGGGGGGGGGGCAGGCGGAAUUCCUGGUGUAGCGGUGAAAUGCGUAGAUAUCAGGAGGAACACCGGCGGCGAAGGCGGCCUGCUGGACCGCGACUGACGUUGAGGCUCGAAAGCGUGGGGAGCGAACAGGAUUAGAUACCCUUGUAGUC
RNAcentral lists this ribosomal RNA (441 nucleotides) under uncultured bacterium. RNAcentral describes it as "partial 16S ribosomal RNA". It matches the Rfam family "Bacterial small subunit ribosomal RNA", at positions 338 to 795 of the family's 1533-position model. The record is from RNAcentral.